GAGUAACGCGUGAGUAACCUGCCUUAGAGAAGGGGAUAGCCUUUGGAAACGGAGAAUAAUACCCUAUGAUAUGAUAACCUCGCAUGGGGCUAUCAUCAAAGAUUUAUCGCUCUAAGAUGGACUUGCGUCUGAUUAGUUAGUUGGUGGGGUAACGGCCCACCAAGACAGCGAUCAGUAGCCGGCUUGAGAGAGUGUACGGCCACAUUGGGACUGAGACACGGCCCAGACUCC
This 231-nucleotide ribosomal RNA is filed under the name uncultured Anaerococcus sp. RNAcentral's name for it is "partial 16S ribosomal RNA". It matches the Rfam family "Bacterial small subunit ribosomal RNA", at positions 108 to 339 of the family's 1533-position model. Lineage: Bacteria; Bacillati; Bacillota; Tissierellia; Tissierellales; Peptoniphilaceae. The record is from RNAcentral.